This 876-nucleotide ribosomal RNA is filed under the name uncultured bacterium. RNAcentral's name for it is "bacterial SSU rRNA". It matches the Rfam family "Bacterial small subunit ribosomal RNA", at positions 41 to 916 of the family's 1533-position model. The record is from RNAcentral.
GGCAAGCGGCAGCUAUACAUGCAGUCGACGAGAUUGAAGAGCUUGCUUUUCAUGAAAGUGGCGCACGGGUGCGUAACGCGUAUGCAACCUACCUUAAUCAGGGGGAUAGCCUCUCGAAAGAGAGAUUAACACCGCAUAAAAUCACAGGCUGGCAUCAGCAAAUGAUCAAAUAUUUAUAGGAUUAAGAUGGGCAUGCGUGACAUUAGCUAGUUGGUAAGGUAACGGCUUACCAAGGCUACGAUGUCUAGGGGAUCUGAGAGGAUGACCCCCCACACUGGUACUGAGACACGGACCAGACUCCUACGGGAGGCAGCAGUAAGGAAUAUUGGUCAAUGGGGGCAACCCUGAACCAGCCAUGCCGCGUGCAGGAAGACGGCCCUACGGGUUGUAAACUGCUUUUAUACGGGAAUAAACCCCCCAACGUGUUGGGGGUUGAAUGUACUGUAAGAAUAAGGAUCGGCUAACUCCGUGCCAGCAGCCGCGGUAAUACGGAGGAUCCAAGCGUUAUCCGGAUUUAUUGGGUUUAAAGGGUGCGUAGGCGGCCUAUUAAGUCAGGGGUGAAAGACGGUGGCUCAACCAUCGCAGUGCCUUUGAUACUGAUAGGCUUGAUUACACUUGAGGUAGGCGGAAUGUGACAAGUAGCGGUGAAAUGCAUAGAUAUGUCACAGAACACCAAUUGCGAAGGCAGCUUACUAAGGUGUUAAUGACGCUGAGGCACGAAAGCGUGGGGAUCAAACAGGAUUAGAUACCCUGGUAGUCCACGCCCUAAACGAUGAAUACUCGAUGUUAGCGAUAUACAGUUAGCGUCAAAGCGAAAGCGUUAAGUAUUCCACCUGGGGAGUACGCCCGCAAGGUGAAACUCAAAGGAAUUGACGG